ACAAAUUUUGUAAUACUUCUAUUAACAUUUGUCAAAAAAAUAUUUAAGUGCUCACUCUUUUAUAUUAAAAUUCAAUUAGUG
This 81-nucleotide transfer RNA is filed under the name Pyropia yezoensis (susabi-nori). Its description in RNAcentral is "Neopyropia yezoensis (susabi-nori) tRNA-Thr". Lineage: Eukaryota; Rhodophyta; Bangiophyceae; Bangiales; Bangiaceae. The record is from RNAcentral.